Molecule: RNA transcript, 3936 nt
Organism: Tachysurus fulvidraco (yellow catfish)
Lineage: Eukaryota; Metazoa; Chordata; Actinopteri; Siluriformes; Bagridae
Gene name: heterogeneous nuclear ribonucleoprotein R-like
Exons: 15
Source: RefSeq, a predicted model, not a curated record
ACAUCAGUGUUAAAGCAAUAAGAGGAAUGGCUGCUGAAGUGAAUGGCAGCUCUGCUCCUGCAAAAGAAGAAGAAGAGCCUAUGGACGUCUCAGCGGCACACACCGAAAACUACCAGACUCUCAUUGAUGCUGGACUUCCCCAGAAAGUAGCUGAGAGCUUGGACAACAUCUUCCAGACAGGUUUGGUGGCCUAUGCUGACCUUGAUGAGAGGGCGAUCGAUGCUCUGCGUGAGUUUAAUGAAGAAGGAGCUCUGUCUGUACUGCAGCAGUUUAAAGAGAGUGACUUGUCUCAUGUCCAGAAUAAGAGUGCCUUCCUGUGUGGUGUCAUGAAGACCUACAGACAGCGGGAAAAACAAGGCAGCAAAAUACAGGAAUCCACAAAAGGCCCAGACGAGACAAAGAUAAAGGCUUUGCUGGAGAGGACAGGAUAUACCCUGGAUGUCACUACAGGCCAGAGGAAAUAUGGUGGCCCACCCCCAGAGACAGUCUUCUCAGGCACACAGCCUGGAAUUGGCACUGAGGUGUUUGUGGGAAAAAUUCCUCGGGAUUUGUAUGAAGAUGAGCUGGUUCCACUGUUUGAGAAGGCGGGACCUAUAUGGGACCUGAGGUUAAUGAUGGACCCGCUGUCCGGACAGAACCGUGGUUAUGCGUUCAUCACCUUCUGUAGCAAAGAUGCUGCACAGGAGGCGGUCAAACUGUGUGAUAAUUAUGAGAUCAGACCAGGGAAGUAUUUGGGUGUUUGCAUUUCUGUAGCCAACAACCGACUCUUUGUGGGCUCCAUUCCAAAGAACAAGACCAGGGAAAGCAUCCUGGAAGACUUUGGCAAAGUGACAGAGGGUCUACAGGAAGUUAUUCUGUACACACAAGCUGACGACAAGAAGAAGAACCGAGGUUUCUGCUUUUUAGAGUAUGAGGACCACAAGUCAGCAGCACAGGCCCGCCGUCGCCUCAUGAGCGGCAAAAUUAAGGUGUGGGGAAACCCUGUAACAGUGGAGUGGGCCGACCCGGUUGCUGAACCUGACCCUGAGGUCAUGGCCAAGGUGAAGGUGCUGUUUGUUCGUAAGCUAGCCACUUCUGUCACAGAGGAGCUCCUAGAGAAGACAUUCUCACAGUUUGGGAAACUAGAACGUGUUAAGAAACUGAAAGACUAUGCCUUCGUUCACUUUGAGGAGCGGGACGCUGCUGUUAAGGCCAUGGAAGAGAUGAAUGGGAAAGAGCUUGGGGGAGAAGAGAUUGAGAUUGUCCUUGCAAAGCCUCCAGACAAGAAGAGGAAAGAACGGCAAGCUGCCCGACAGACCAGCAGAAAUACAGGAUAUGACGAUUAUUACUACUACCCCCCACCUCGCAUGCCACCCCCAGGCCGUGGCCGCGGCCGAGGUGGUCGUGGCGGCUAUUCUUACCCACCCGAUUACUACGGCUAUGAAGACUACUAUGAUGACUACUACGGUUAUGAUUACCAUGACUAUCGUGGUGGCUACGACGAUCCCUAUUAUGGCUAUGAAGAAGUGUAUCCAAUAAGGGGACGUGGCAACCGUGGGAGCCGUGGAGCCCCUCCCCCACCCAGAGCACGCGGGGUUCCCCCGGCUCGCGGUAGAGGUGGCUAUGCUCCGAGGGGAGGUGCUCCCAUGGGUGCAGGCCGUGGAGGACGUGGAGGGGGACGAGGUGGCCCUUUCCAGUCACCCAGGGGUGGACGUGGCACCAGAGGUGCCCGUGGGAACCGUGGUGGCAAUGUGGGUGGUAAGAGAAAGGCAGACGUGUUUAACCAACCGGAUUCAAAACGACGCCAGACAACCAAUCAGCAGAACUGGGGGUCGCAGCCAAUCGCUCAGCAGCCACUACAGCAAGGGGGUGACUACUCCAGCAACUACUACAGCAAUGACACCCUGGAGUUCUCCCAGGAUUCUUAUGGGCAGCAGUGGAAGUAGACGACACACACAUCACCACCCCCCCAAAAAAAAAGAGUAUGUCAGUGACACAAUAAGGACACGCCCCAGAAUUGGCUUCACAAAUCCUGAUUGGCUGAAAGUAUCGGCGCGAGAGAGAGAGCCGUUGCUAGCUUGAGGAACACACCAGAACUGUGUUCUUCUUCAGCAGGGGGUGAGCUGGUCUUUCACACUCCUCUCUCUCUCUCUCUCUCUCUCUGUCUGUCUGUCUGUCAGUCUCUCUCUCUCUCUUUCUUUCUCACUCUGUCUCUCUCUAGUAAUAAUUGGCCAUCCCAAAUACUGAUUAGUUUACAUUUCUACAUUUAUUUCAAGUAAUCAGCUAUAAUCAUCCUCCGAAGCUUAUGACUGCUCUCUAGAAACACACAAACGAAUAGUACUUUGCUAAAAGUCCAUAGAAUUCUGGUGCUACUAGUCAUCUCAUGUGAUUUUAUUUAAUUCUAUGUAACUUCCUCUGCAUAUAAAAUUUCACAUUGCAAUUAUUGAUAUCCUAAAGUCUAAAAAAAGAAGAGCUUGUUUCCACCAUUUCCACAGAAAGGCGAAAUAAAUAAAGCUGGACGAUCAGUCUGCAGUGACAAUCACGAAAAUUCAGCUGGAUGGUGGAUUUUUAGGAGUCUGCAUUAAGAUGCAGUGAAUACAUCCAUUUCUCCUCCACCAUGUCUUAUAUCCACGUCGGCUGACCAUUUUCUGUUGAUCUGCUGCUCAGUGAGUUUGAACACAUCCAAUUUCAGACCGACAAUAUUUCAUCUCUUUCUAAUUUUCAUCACCAUUAAAAUGCUUGUGUCAAUAACAAACAAACCGACGUGAACAAUACGAUUGUUUAAUGUUAGCCGAGUCAUUUGAUAUUAAUGAACUCACUAAAAACAUUCUUCAUUUUCCUAUAAUGAACAUCUUAUUACCUGUAUAAAUGAGGUGAAUAUAAGGCAGCAAAUAGCAGUAUUGGGGAAAUUAUGUAUUUUAAUACAUGUGCCCAAACACACACUCACACUUGACACACAUUUAUUUCUAUGUUUGUUUUUUGUCUUGUUUUUAAUAUAAUGAAUGUGGUAAUUAUUUAAAAAAAAAAAAAAAAAAUAAGCUUGUAAAUACGAGUGAAGCUCAAGGGGCAAAAAAAUAAAUCUAGAGAUGGCUUGUUUCAUUAAUGUCCAGUACAAUUGGAAACACUUCAGUCAUGCAGCUGAAUAUAAGCAGUCAGUUUUAAGUGUGUAUUCAACACAACCACAUUUUAACAUAGAUUAAUAUUGUGUGUUUUGUUCCUGGGAUAUUUCUUGCCUUUGUACAUAAAGAGACGGAUCUUAAAACAUCACUCUCACACAAUCGUCUUAAUAUCUCUGAGGACUGGUUAUGGAAACGGUGCACUGAUGCAUGUAGAACAGUGAGAUCUAAUGUAGCAUUGGACAAAUCUAUCGCAACAUUAGUACAAUUAUAAACCAUGCAUUAUUUUACACCAUGCUGUUAGUGUACAGUUAAAGGUUUAGUGAAAAUAAUUAAGCUUAAUUAACAACUAUAACAUGUCGAAACUUUCCAAUAUUCAUGUGUUAACUUUUUUUUGUGAGUCUUAAAAAAAAAAAAAAAACAUGUAUUCAUAAUAAACAAAGCUGACUGCUGUUGUUAAUAAUUACAGUUAUGAUAAUAACAGUUACAGAUUGUCCAGAAAAUUGUCUAGAGUCAUCCAACAAUGGAGCAUGUCGUGUGCAGCGCCUGUCCACUGUAUAUCAGGAGCUGUAGGUGUUUCCUGGUGUCUCCCGACCUCAUAGCUGAGAAGACCUCGUUUUUGGGAUAACAGCAGAGAUGUCCUGUAACGGGUAUCAGCCGGCCGUGGUGCCGAAGGAAAUGACGAGACUCGUGUUUCAUGGGGACUCGUGGAAGCAGUCGACAGGCAGCAGAAGAAAUCAAGCACACGAGGAGAGCAUGAGACAUGAGUUUCUUUGUAAUGUGACCGUGUCUAUUGUUCAAUGUGCUAAACAAACAGAACGGAAUUAAAUAAUUUAAUUAA